This 432-nucleotide ribosomal RNA is filed under the name uncultured bacterium. Its description in RNAcentral is "bacterial SSU rRNA". It matches the Rfam family "Bacterial small subunit ribosomal RNA", at positions 1046 to 1481 of the family's 1533-position model. The record is from RNAcentral.
UGGCUGUCGUCAGCUCGUGUCGUGAGAUGUUGGUUAGUCCGCAACGAGCGCAACCCUUGUCAUUAAUUGCCAUCAUUUAGUUGGGCACUUUAAUGAGACUGCCGGUGACAAACCGGAAGGAAGGUGGGGAUGACGUCAAGUCCUCAUGGCCCUUAUGGGUAGGGCUUCACACGUAAUACAAUGGCGCGUACAGAGGGUUGCCAACCCGCGAGGGGGAGCUAAUCUCAGAAAGCGCGUCGUAGUCCGGAUCGGAGUCUGCAACUCGACUCCGUGAAGUCGGAAUCGCUAGUAAUCGCGGAUCAGCAUGUCGCGGUGAAUACGUUCCCGGGUCUUGUACACACCGCCCGUCACACCAUGGGAGUGGGUUUCACCAGAAGCAGGUAGUCUAACCGUAAGGAGGGCGCUUGCCACGGUGAGAUUCAUGACUGGGGU